Molecule: ribosomal RNA, 122 nt
Filed under: Burkholderiales bacterium
Lineage: Bacteria; Pseudomonadati; Pseudomonadota; Betaproteobacteria; Burkholderiales
Description: partial 23S ribosomal RNA
Rfam family: Bacterial large subunit ribosomal RNA
Source: RNAcentral
GUCUUGCCGGGGCCUUGAGCCCCCUGAAGAGUCGUUCGAGACCAGGACGUUGAUAGGCUGGGUGUGGAAGCGCAGUAAUGCGUUAAGCUAACCAGUACUAAUUGCUCGUGAGGCUUGACCCU